Gigantopelta aegis is the source of this 3542-nucleotide long non-coding RNA. RefSeq lists it as uncharacterized. The transcript is spliced from 2 exons. The record is from RefSeq and is a predicted model, not a curated record. NCBI's taxonomy places the organism in Eukaryota, Metazoa, Mollusca, Gastropoda, Neomphalida, Peltospiridae.
AAGUAGUGAGUUAUCUGCCCUUGAUCUUCCGCUUGGUGGCAGCACUUGCCGGUCCUCGACUUUGUCAAGAAAGCAUGGUGUAAAACGUUACCACGAAAUAUGUUCGGUAGUCUAACUAUUAUUCAGUUGAAGGCUGAAUUAAAGAAGCGAAAUGCCAAACAGACGGGAAGAAAGAAGGAACUGGUUGAAAGACUUGAAGCAUAUAUGAAAGAAACAAAAACUUUGGCCAGACAGAUGUUUGCGGACCAGACUUUUAUAUGCUGAUUCCAGAUUCAGUCUGUUUCAGAGACAUCAAUUCAGACACAGAAUUUUGUUAUUUAACAAUAGACACUGUAAAAUAUUAUUUGCAACAGUUUGACAAGGAAUUGGACAUUAAAACAGUAAAGACAUUCUACAAUGAAAAAAUUGUUAUCUUCCUCCGUGUAGGCAAGGAUGGAGAUAAAUUCUUUGUCAAGAGCUGUUGCCAUGCAGAAAUGAAAAAAGGUGUUACCUAUAUGGUAGAUAUAGCCUUGAGUAGUGAUGGUGAUAUCAACGAAACUCAGUGCGAGUGUGCGGCUGGCAUGGGCCCAAAUGCCCAUUGUAAACAUGUGUGCACAGUGUUGUAUGCUGUGAACAUUUUUUGUUCUACAAAAACUGUUAUUACUGAGGAAACAUGUACUCAAAAAUUGCAGACAUUCCACCAUUGUAAAAAGUUUGUAGGCAGUCCACUGAAAGCCAAGCAGAUGAAUUUACCUCGCGCCGACGAGUUCACAAACAUGGAUUUUGAUCCUCGGCCAGCCAACUUGCGAAACAACCCUGGGUACUCUGAUUUUUUCCGGAAUCAUUGCUUAAAUUUUUCGGGAAUUUCAAAAAUGCCCAUUUUCCAACUGCUAACAGUUAUGCAGUGGCACUGGACCAUGACUACUUGGAAUUGACCCCACAGGACAGUUAUUUGGAAGCAAUAUUUGUAUCUAAAAUAACAGAAGAUGAGAUUAAGAAUAUUGAGAAGCAAACCUGUGGUCAGGGGAAAAAUCCACUCUUGGCAGAUGAGCGGACCAAACGUCUGACAUCGUCAAACUUCGGCAGGAUUUGCAAAGCAACCGACCGCACAAAUAAAAACAAACUGGCAAAGUCGAUGGUGACUGUUACAAGUGUUAAGGCACCGUCUCUUACACACGGUUUGAAAUAUGAGCAUGUAGCACUUUCCAAAUAUAUGUCAUUAUCUGGAAAUGUAGUGAAUAAUUGUGGAGUUGUUGUAUCAAAGGACUACCCCUUUUUGUCCAGCUCGCCAGAUGGGAAAAUAGACAGUCUACAGAUCGUAGAAGUGAAAUGCCCAUACACUGCGAAAGAUAAAUUAAUAUCCUCAGUCACUGUACCUUACUUAAAGAUGGAUACAAACUCAAAGUACUAUUUGGAAGAAAAACAUGACUACUAUUACCAAAUACAGGGUCAGUUACUUUGUACAGGAGCACAGGAUUGUGUGUUCAUUGUCUACACGAUAGCUGACAUCCUAUAUUUCAAAGUGUCAUGGAAUGAUGAUUUCAUUAACAAAAUGGUGUCAGAGUUACAGGACUUUUUUGAAAACUAUUUCAAAAAAACUUUAUUAGAAAAACGGUUUUACAAAUCAUACACUGAAUAGGCAGCAGAUUCUUCAAUGCCUAACAGUAGUGUUUCUAGGAAGUCCAAACCUAGAAAAGGGUCCGACCCAAAUCGUACAUGUAUUCAUAAUUUUCUCACAUCUAAGAUAAUUGUAAUUGUUUGAAUGUAUAAUUCAAAGAUUCUGUUAUUUUUGACAUUGUGAUUUAAACUGUACAGUGUAUGUUUACAUGUAGUAGAUGUACUAUUACAAGUAUUUAUGUGUGUGUGUGUGUAUAGACAUGUUGAGUUUUCAUCUAUUUUAUUUUUGUGGCAGAAUAAUAUUGCAACAUAACAAAUUGAUGAGAGAGUUUGAAGUCUGAUAAUAUUUAUGGGAGAGAAUACAUGUAUACAAUAUACAGUAUGCAAUGCAGCAAGAACAUUUAUGCAUUACAUGACACAAUGCAUGUUCUAAAAUUACACAACAUGUAACAGAUGAAAACAAUAUCAGAUGAUAAUUUUGUCUCUGUGCUGGUCAAAGGAUUACACAGAAUUUUGUAUGUUUUUCCCAAUCCAAUAAUUCGCUCAAUGUGUACUCGUUUACUUGAAAUCUUUCUGUCCUUCAUUACUAUGUUUCCACUCAUUCUAUUUUUUUUUCUGAAAAAUGUUGGAAUAUUUAUAGCAACAUUAAUAGGUGCAAAUAAAUCUUGAACAUUAAAUCCUUUGUCAGCCAUUAUUGAGUCGCCAGGAUCAACACAGGACAAUAAAUUACUUCGUUCUACUAUCUGUCUGUCACUGGUGGAACCACCAUAAGUGGGUGAUAUAUAGGAAAUGAGUCCGCCAGGUGAAGCACCAAUAAGGGUUUUCACUGUGUUCCGAUUCUUAUAUGUAGAAAAUGUGGAUUGUUGAGCUCUUGGAGGCUUGGGUUUCUUGACGGGGCAUUCAGUACCAUCUAUAACAAGCCUUGUUGUGGGAAACUUGGAUUUGAAAUCUGAUGGGGAGAAAUGUUUAACUAGAUUUUGUGGCGGCCAAAUAUUGAUUUCGCGCCACUGCUUCGACACAAAUGAAAUCCACGUGAAAACUAUAUUUUUCACACCUGCCUCUGAAAUUCCAAACAUUAAUGACAUUUCAAAGUAAGUUUGAUGCCUUCUCAAUUUCAUGAGCAUCAUGAAGAAUUGGUUAGGAACAGAAAUGUUAAGUACAUUGUGGUAUAUAUAUAUUUUAGACAAAAUGCUGCUGGUCCAAGAGACUUCAAAACAAAAAUAAACUUUACAUAACAUUCUAGUCCAGUAUAAAAAUGGAUGGCCUUGUCAUCUGUAAUAAAGUCUGUAAUAUCAAACUUUUGUUUCUCAGUACAAGUUUGUGUUGAGCAGUCUGUUGUUAUAUCAUCAGCUGGUAUACAUGUGGCAUCAAUAUCCAGUCGAGGAUGUUUGUCUGAAGUAACAAUCUCUUCGCCAUAUUCGAUAUACUCAAAUUCUUUUUCCAUCUCAUAUUUGGCCUCGAAGUCCUUUUUUCGUUUUUGCGACUCCCUCUCUUUUGAUCUCAGUUGUCGAUCAAUCUGACUAGCUGUGUCAGGUCUUGUCCAUUCAAAUUGGCUUGGGAUUGCUGUUGAAAGCAGCUUCAUCUUAAGUGGUUUUUAUCCUGAAAUGAGAACAAACAUCUAAAGUGUAAUAACUAUUUUUUAAAUUUUAUUUGGAUUUCUAAAUGUCAACAACUGCAUCUGUACAUACAUUUCUAUUAACAAUGCUUAAAAUGUUGUUUUAGUGUAUUUGUGUAUAUACAUAUGGGAAGAGUUAAUGUUAUGGGGUAAAUUUUGAUUACUAAUAUUUAUUUCAAAUGGGCAAAUUUUAUAGGCAACAUGUCUUUAUAAUGAGCUGUUGUGUUUGUAUAUUUUUAUUAUUAUUAUUAUUUAUGUUGUAAAUUAGUGUAAUAUAAUUGUAUUGUGAUGUAGUUUCUGUUUAAAAACAUGUAAUAAAGUGUUAACUUGU